AGUGAACGCUGGCGGCGUGCUUAACACAUGCAAGUCGAACGAGAACGGGAUAUAGCUUGCUAUAUUUGUCAGCUAAGUGGCGCACGGGUGAGUAAUGUAUAGAUAACCUGCCCUCUAGAAAGGAAUAACAGUUGGAAACGACUGCUAAUGCCCUAUAUGCCUUUAAUACAUAAGUAUGCAAGGGAAACGCUUUAGUGCUAGAGGAUGGGUCUGUAGGGUACCAGCUUGUUGGUGAGGUAAUGGCUCACAAAGGCUAUGACGCCUAACUGGUUUGAGAGGAUGAUCAGUCACACUGGAACUGAGACACGGACCAGACUCCUACGGGAGGCAGCAGUGGGGAAUAUUGCACAAUGGACGAAAGUCUGAUGCAGCAACGCCGCGUGGAGGAUGACACAUUUCGGUGCGUAAACUCCUUUUAUAUAGGAAGAUAAUGACGGUACUAUAUGAAUAAGCACCGGCUAACUCCGUGCCAGCAGCCGCAGUAA
RNAcentral lists this ribosomal RNA (485 nucleotides) under uncultured bacterium. RNAcentral describes it as "partial 16S ribosomal RNA". It matches the Rfam family "Bacterial small subunit ribosomal RNA", at positions 29 to 523 of the family's 1533-position model. The record is from RNAcentral.